RNAcentral lists this ribosomal RNA (539 nucleotides) under uncultured Chloroflexota bacterium. RNAcentral's name for it is "bacterial SSU rRNA". It matches the Rfam family "Bacterial small subunit ribosomal RNA", at positions 343 to 896 of the family's 1533-position model. Lineage: Bacteria; Bacillati; Chloroflexota. The record is from RNAcentral.
GGGUGGCAGCAGUAGGGAAUAUUGCUUAAUGGGCGCAAGCCUGAAGCAGCAACGCCGCGUGUGCGAUGACGGCCUUCGGGUUGUAAAGCACGUUUUAGGUGGGAAGAGGAAGGACGGUACCACCUGAAUAAGCCUCGGCUAACUACGUGCCAGCAGCCGCGGUAAAACGUAGGAGGCGAGCGUUAUCCGGAUUUACUGGGUGUAAAGCGCGUGCAGGCGGUUCGUUAAGUUGGAUGUGAAAGCUCCCGGCUCAACUGGGAGAGGUCGUACAAGACUGGCGGACUGGAGUGUGGUAGGGGAAGGUGGAAUUCCGGGUGUAGUGGUGAAAUGCGUAGAUAUCCGGAGGAACACCAGUGGCGAAGGCGGCCUUCUAGACCACAACUGACGCUCAGACGCGAAAGCUAGGGUAGCAAACGGGAUUAGAGACCCCGGUAGUCCUAGCCGUAAACGAUGUGAACUUGGCGGCGGUUGGGUAAAACCGAUCGGUGCCGAAGCAAACGCGAUAAGUUCACCACCUGGGGACUACGGCCGCAAGGUUA